Molecule: ribosomal RNA, 463 nt
Filed under: uncultured bacterium
Lineage: Bacteria
Description: partial 16S ribosomal RNA
Rfam family: Bacterial small subunit ribosomal RNA
Source: RNAcentral
GACGAACGCUGGCGGCGUGCUUAACACAUGCAAGUCGAACGGUGAACCUCUUCGGAGGGGAUCAGUGGCGAACGGGUGAGUAACACGUGGGCAACCUGCCCCCGGCUCUGGGAUAACUCCAAGAAAUUGGGGCUAAUACCGUAUGUUCACCGCUUCCCGCAUGGGUGGUGGUGGAAAGGGUUUCCGGCUGGGGAUGGGCCCGCGGCCUAUCAGCUUGUUGGUGGGGUAGUGGCCUACCAAGGCGACGACGGGUAGCCGGCCUGAGAGGGUGACCGGCCACACUGGGACUGAGACACGGCCCAGACUCCUACGGGAGGCAGCAGUGGGGAAUAUUGCGCAAUGGGCGGAAGCCUGACGCAGCGACGCCGCGUGGGGGAUGACGGCCUUCGGGUUGUAAACCUCUUUCAGCAGGGACGAAGCGCAAGUGACGGUACCUGCAGAAGAAGCACCGGCCAACUACGUG